UUGGACAAUGGUAGGAGAGCGUUCUAAGGGCGUUGAAGCAUGAUCGCAAGGACAUGUGGAGCGCUUAGAAGUGAGAAUGCCGGUGUGAGUAGCGAAAGACGGGUGAGAAUCCCGUCCACCGAUUGACUAAGGUUUCCAGAGGAAGGCUCGUCCGCUCUGGGUUAGUCGGGUCCUAAGCUGAGGCCGACAGGCGUAGGCGAUGGAUAACAGGUUGAUAUUCCUGUACCACCAUUAUUCGUUUUAAGCGAUGGGGGGACGCAGUAGGAUAGGCGAAGCGUGCUGUUGGAGUGCACGUCCAAGCAGUGAGAUUGAGUGUUAGGCAAAUCCGGCACUCUUAAGAUUGAGCUGUGAUGGGGAGAGGAACUUGUUCCUCGAGUCGUUGAUUUCACACUGCCGAGAAAAGCCUCUAGCUAGAAUAACGGUGCCCGUACCGCAAACCGACACAGGUAGUCAAGAUGAGAAUUCUAAGGUGAGCGAGCGAACUCUCGUUAAGGAACUCGGCAAAAUGACCCCGUAACUUCGGGAGAAGGGGUGCUCUUUGAGGUUCACGCUUCGAAGAGCCGCAGUGAAUAGGCCCAAGCGACUGUUUAUCAAAAACACAGGUCUCUGCUAAACCGUAAGGUGACGUAUAGGGGCUGACGCCUGCCCGGUGCUGGAAGGUUAAGAGGAGUGGUUAGCGCAAGCGAAGCUACGAAUCGAAGCCCCAGUAAACGGCGGCCGUAACUAUAACGGUCCUAAGGUAGCGAAAUUCCUUGUCGGGUAAGUUCCGACCCGCACGAAAGGCGUAACGAUUUGGGCACUGUCUCAACGAGAGACUCGGUGAAAUCAUAGUACCGGUGAAGAUGCCGGUUACCCGCGACAGGACGGAAAGACCCCGUGGAGCUUUACUGUAGCCUGAUAUUGAAAUUCGGUACAGUUUGUACAGGAUAGGUAGGAGCCUUAGAAGCGUGAGCGCUAGCUUACGUGGAGGCAUUGGUGGGAUACUACCCUAAUUGUAUUGGAUUUCUAACCCGCAGCACUUAUCGUGCUGGGAGACAGUGUCAGGCGGGCAGUUUGACUGGGGCGGUCGCCUCCUAAAGAGUAACGGAGGCGCUCAAAGGUUCCCUCAGAAUGGUUGGAAAUCAUUCAUAGAGUGUAAAGGCAUAAGGGAGCUUGACUGCGAGACCUACAAGUCGAGCAGGGUCGAAAGACGGACUUAGUGAUCCGGUGGUUCCGCAUGGAAGGGCCAUCGCUCAACGGAUAAAAGCUACCCCGGGGAUAACAGGCUUAUCUCCCCCAAGAGUUCACAUCGACGGGGAGGUUUGGCACCUCGAUGUCGGCUCAUCGCAUCCUGGGGCUGUAGUCGGUCCCAAGGGUUGGGCUGUUCGCCCAUUAAAGCGGUACGCGAGCUGGGUUCAGAACGUCGUGAGACAGUUCGGUCCCUAUCCGUCGUGGGCGUAGGAAAUUUGAGAGGAGCUGUCCUUAGUACGAGAGGACCGGGAUGGACAUACCUCUGGUGUACCAGUUGUCGUGCCAACGGCAUAGCUGGGUAGCUAUGUAUGGACGGGAUAAGUGCUGAAAGCAUCUAAGCAUGAAGCCCCCCUCGAGAUGAGAUUUCCCAACUUCGGUUAUAAGAUCCCUCAAAGAUGAUGAGGUGAAUAGGUUCGAGGUGGAAGCGUAGCGAUACGUGGAGCUGACGAAUACUAAUCGAUCGAAGACUUAAUCAA
This 1706-nucleotide ribosomal RNA is filed under the name Staphylococcus pseudintermedius. Its description in RNAcentral is "partial 23S ribosomal RNA". It matches the Rfam family "Bacterial large subunit ribosomal RNA", at positions 1218 to 2925 of the family's 2925-position model. The record is from RNAcentral. Lineage: Bacteria; Bacillati; Bacillota; Bacilli; Caryophanales; Staphylococcaceae.